This 1156-nucleotide long non-coding RNA is filed under the name Chinchilla lanigera (long-tailed chinchilla). RNAcentral's name for it is "lncRNA (ENSCLAG00000022717.1)". Lineage: Eukaryota; Metazoa; Chordata; Mammalia; Rodentia; Chinchillidae. The record is from RNAcentral.
GCUGAGGAUCACUUCCAGAGGCAGCUGCACUUUGCAUCACCUUUCUAUAGUUUUCUCUGAUAGUCUUUCUCCGCAAAUUCCCACAUUGCUAUUGACGCCAGGUCUUGAACACAAGCUCUGCAGAUGAAUCGAGAUGCUAAAUGAGUUCCAGCAUCCCUGCUUCUCUGCUGCAUGUACUCCAAGGACAGAUGGCAGAGGAAGACACCACCUGUCUGACAAAAGGCCAUUCCUGGUUCAUGCUCUGAAUGUCACGCUGAGUAGCCAUGACUGUUGCUGAGGACACACCAAUUGUUAUGUAAUGAUAGGUUCAGGUUUGGCAUUGCCCUUGCUUCUUGGCACAGCAUAAUGUUACUAUUUUUAAAACCGAGCAUGACAGCGUAGAUACUGAAAUGGAAACGGAGCCAGAACCACGCUGGAUUCGAUUGGAAGCAUCAAGAGGCUGACAUUCAAAUGUCCAUAGAUUCCCCAACUCAUUUAUUUUUCAUUGUGAGAUUUACUUUAAGAAUCAAGGCUGCAAGACCCUGACUCAAAAAGAUAUCUAGAUUGCUAUCCUAUUAGGCAAUAUCAAUUUAAUAAAUAAAUGCUUUAAUUUUAACAUCAGUGUGUAUUAAUAAAGAUUUUAAUUUUAAUUUUAGUUGCCACUUAAUGACUUCAUUCUUAGAAGUAGUCUUUAAAGUUAUGCUGUUCAUUGCAUAUUUUGUUUUCAAAUUAGUAGUACCAGAUAUAAAUUACCAUGCAAAAUUGGUCAAGAAAAAAAUUUAAGCACUAACUGUUCCUUUCAAUAAACCAAUAGAUAGCAGCAGUACAAUUAUCCCAGCUAUCCUUGUAUAUCUAUCUAUCUAUCUAUCUAUCUAUCUAUCUAUCUAUCUAUCUACUUCAACCGUUGCUUAAUUUCUACCAUCUUGUUUAGUGAAGCUCUGUAUCAUUUCCAAUGUUUUUAAAAUUACUUUUUAUUCUGUUUAAUUGUUUGAUCAAUUUUGCCUUCUUACUUCUGGUAAUCUGAGCAACUUCAUUGAAGAUGACAAUACGUAAUAUAACAACCACUGUUAAUUUGUAUCAUCUUGUUUUGAAAUUCUGUGUCAUUUUUAUUGUUUUUGUGUUGUUUUAUUUUGAUCUUGGUUAUUGUUAUUUUGUUAUUGUUUUUUCUCUUUAAAAU